Molecule: ribosomal RNA, 767 nt
Filed under: uncultured bacterium
Lineage: Bacteria
Description: bacterial SSU rRNA
Rfam family: Bacterial small subunit ribosomal RNA
Source: RNAcentral
GACGAACGCUGGCGGCGUGCCUAAUACAUGCAAGUCGAGCGAAGUUUUUCUGGUGCUUGCACCGGAAAACUUAGCGGCGAACGGGUGAGUAACACGUAAAGAACCUGCCUCAUAGACUGGGACAACUAUUGGAAACGAUAGCUAAUACCGGAUAACAGCAUUAACUGCAUGGUUGAUGUUUGAAAGUUGGUUUUGCUAACACUAUGAGAUGGCUUUGCGGUGCAUUAGCUAGUUGGUGGGGUAAAGGCCUACCAAGGCGACGAUGCAUAGCCGACCUGAGAGGGUGAUCGGCCACACUGGGACUGAGACACGGCCCAGACUCCUACGGGAGGCAGCAGUAGGGAAUCUUCCGCAAUGGGCGAAAGCCUGACGGAGCAACGCCGCGUGAGUGAAGAAGGAUUUCGGUUCGUAAAGCUCUGUUGUUAGGGAAGAAUGAUUGUGUAGUAACUAUACACAGUAGAGACGGUACCUAACCAGAAAGCCACGGCUAACUACGUGCCAGCAGCCGCGGUAAUACGUAGGUGGCAAGCGUUGUCCGGAAUUAUGGGGCGUAAAGCGCGCGCAGGUGGUUUAAUAAGUCUGAUGUGAAAUCCCACGGCUCACCCGUGGAGGGUCAUUGGAAACUGGUAAACUUGAGUGCUGGAGAAAAAGUGGAAUUCCUAGUGUUGCGGUGAAAUGUGUAGAGAUUGGGAGGAACAUCUGUGGCGAAGGCGGCUUUUUGGCCUGUAACUGACCUGGAUGCGCGAAAAGGGUGGGGAGUAACUAGG